AUCUGGCUGGCUCAUAGGUAGAGCAUGUGACUCUUGAUCUCAGGUUUGUGAGUUCGAGCCCCAUGUUGGGUA
RNAcentral lists this transfer RNA (72 nucleotides) under Felis catus (domestic cat). It matches the Rfam family "tRNA". From Rfam's summary of the family: Transfer RNA (tRNA) molecules are approximately 80 nucleotides in length. RNAcentral also lists the same sequence under 6 other names. Lineage: Eukaryota; Metazoa; Chordata; Mammalia; Carnivora; Felidae. The record is from Rfam by way of RNAcentral.